This 73-nucleotide transfer RNA is filed under the name Canis lupus familiaris (dog). It matches the Rfam family "tRNA". From Rfam's summary of the family: Transfer RNA (tRNA) molecules are approximately 80 nucleotides in length. Their secondary structure includes four short double-helical elements and three loops (D, anti-codon, and T loops). Further hydrogen bonds mediate the characteristic L-shaped molecular structure. tRNAs have two regions of fundamental functional importance: the anti-codon, which is responsible for specific mRNA codon recognition, and the 3' end, to which the tRNAs corresponding amino acid is attached (by aminoacyl-tRNA synthetases). tRNAs cope with the degeneracy of the genetic code in two manners: having more than one tRNA (with a specific anti-codon) for a particular amino acid; and 'wobble' base-pairing, i.e. permitting non-standard base-pairing at the 3rd anti-codon position. The record is from Rfam by way of RNAcentral. RNAcentral also lists the same sequence under 1 other name. Lineage: Eukaryota; Metazoa; Chordata; Mammalia; Carnivora; Canidae.
ACCUGGCUGGCUCAGCUGGUAGAGCAUGUGACUCUUGAUCUCAGGGUUAUGAGUUCGAGCCCCUCAUUGGGUG